RNAcentral lists this long non-coding RNA (410 nucleotides) under Hordeum vulgare. RNAcentral describes it as "long non-coding RNA (HVUL_LNC011834)". The record is from RNAcentral. Lineage: Eukaryota; Viridiplantae; Streptophyta; Magnoliopsida; Poales; Poaceae.
AACAUUUCAAUAACACAUUAUGCACUCCAGCUUUUUGAGACUAGUCACAAAGAAAGCAUGAACUACUGGAAAGCAUUGUAAUCAUAGCACUAUGUCUCUACAAGUUGGUCUCUAGAUCAUAAGUACAGGCAUAUGUACAAAAGUAGAAACAAAUAGAGUUCAUAUCGGUUUUCCUUGUUGCAUUCCUUCCGUCGUUCUUCGUCAUUAUUGCCUCGUCACUUGCACGGUCGAACGUAGAAAGAUAUAAUCAAGCGCAAUUGCAACCAUGGACGUGAGCUGAACUCUGCAAACAAAGCAAACUAAAGAGAGAAAAGAAAUCUUUUUUGGUUUUCCAAAGGUUAAACGAAAGCAAAACAAAAGAGAAAUAUUUUUGUUGUUUUUGCAAAGAAAGAACAAAGAAGAACAGGCAG